AUCCAACUGACGAGUCCCGAAUAGGACGAAACGCGGAUACUGGAU
Molecule: non-coding RNA, 45 nt
Filed under: Schistosoma margrebowiei
Lineage: Eukaryota; Metazoa; Platyhelminthes; Trematoda; Strigeidida; Schistosomatidae
Source: RNAcentral